Molecule: ribosomal RNA, 253 nt
Filed under: uncultured bacterium
Lineage: Bacteria
Description: partial 16S ribosomal RNA
Rfam family: Bacterial small subunit ribosomal RNA
Source: RNAcentral
UACGUAGGUGGCAAGCGUUAUCCGGAAUUAUUGGGCGUAAAGCGCGCGCAGGCGGUUUCUUAAGUCUGAUGUGAAAGCCCACGGCUCAACCGUGGAGGGUCAUUGGAAACUGGGGAACUUGAGUGCAGAAGAGGAAAGUGGAAUUCCAAGUGUAGCGGUGAAAUGCGUAGAGAUUUGGAGGAACACCAGUGGCGAAGGCGACUUUCUGGUCUGUAACUGACACUGAGGCGCGAAAGCGUGGGGAGCGAACAGG